This 542-nucleotide ribosomal RNA is filed under the name Capillaster multiradiatus. Its description in RNAcentral is "partial 16S ribosomal RNA". It matches the Rfam family "Bacterial large subunit ribosomal RNA", at positions 1858 to 2603 of the family's 2925-position model. The record is from RNAcentral. Lineage: Eukaryota; Metazoa; Echinodermata; Crinoidea; Comatulida; Comatulidae.
CCUGCCCAGUGAAUAUAAAACUUUAAACGGCCGCGGUAUCUUGACCGUGCAAAGGUAGCAUAAUAACUUGCUCUUUAAUUGAGGGCUAGUAUGAAAGGCAAGACGAAGGCAAAACUGUCUCCCUACUAAAAAAAGAAAUUAAUAUUUUAGUGAAGAAGCUAAAAUAAAAUCGCUAGACAAGAAGACCCUGUCGAGCUUAAGAAAAUCCUUAUUUUUAAAGAAGAAAAAGCUAAUAUUUGAAUUUUUUAUUAAAAAUACUUUUUCAAAAACCAAUAAUAAAGAUAUCUUUGGUUGGGGCAACCACGAAGAAAAAAAAACCUUCGAUUUUUAUAAAAAAUAAACAAAUUUAAAAUCUUUAAAGCUUAAAAUAGAUCCGGAAAUUUUCCGAUCAAAGAAAAAAGUUACCGCAGGGAUAACAGCGUUAUUCUCUUUGAGAGCUCAUAUUGACAAGAGAGUUUGCGACCUCGAUGUUGGACCGGGGCACCCAAGAGAUGCAGAAGUCUCUAAAGGUAGGUCUGUUCGACCUUUAAAGCCCUACGUGA